This 180-nucleotide ribosomal RNA is filed under the name uncultured Glomeromycotina. Its description in RNAcentral is "partial small subunit ribosomal RNA". The stretch from base 48 to 180 matches the Rfam family "Eukaryotic small subunit ribosomal RNA", at positions 694 to 829 of the family's 1831-position model. Lineage: Eukaryota; Fungi; Glomeromycota. The record is from RNAcentral.
GAUUUGGUCGAGUGGUCCGCCUAACGGUGUGUUACUGCUUGACUGGGUCUUGUCUCUUGGUGAACCGUUGUGCCGUUUAUUCGGUGCUCUGGGGAACCAGGACUUUUACCUUGAGAAAAUUAGAGUGUUUAAAGCAGGCUUUCGCUUGAAUACAUUAGCAUGGAAUAAUAGAAUAGGACU